This 253-nucleotide ribosomal RNA is filed under the name uncultured bacterium. RNAcentral's name for it is "partial 16S ribosomal RNA". It matches the Rfam family "Bacterial small subunit ribosomal RNA", at positions 524 to 776 of the family's 1533-position model. The record is from RNAcentral.
GACAGAGGAUGCAAGCGUUAUCCGGAAUGAUUGGGCGUAAAGCGUCUGUAGGUGGUUUGACAAGUCUUCUGUCAAAGAUCAGGGCUUGACCGCGGGCUUGCGGUUGAUACGGGCGGGCUAGAGUUCGGUAGGGGAGACUGGAAUUCCUGGUGUAGCGGUGAAAUGCGCAGAUAUCAGGAGGAACACCGGUGGCGAAGGCGGGUCUCUGGGCCGAUACUGACGCUGAGGAGCGAAAGCGUGGGGAGCGAACAGG